GGCUGCUGCGCCGCGCUGGCGGCCUUCCUGUUCGAGUACGACACGCCGCGCAUCGUGCUCAUCCGCAGCCGCAAAGUGGGGCUCAUGAACCGCGCCGUGCAGCUGCUCAUCCUGGCCUACGUCAUCGGGAGGAAAACUCCCUCUUCGUUAUGACCAAUGUGAUCCUCACCAUGAACCAGACCCAGGGCCUGUGCCCCGAGAUUCCAGAUGAGACCACUGUGUGUGAAUCAGAUGCCAACUGUACUGCCGGCUCUGCCGGCACCCACAGCAACGACCUGCUUUUUUAAAGGCUGCAGAAAACUUCACUCUUUUGGUUAAGAACAACAUCUGGUACCCCAAAUUUAAUUUCAGCAAGAGGAAUAUCCUUCCCAACAUCACCACUACUUACCUCAAGUCCUGCAUUUAUGAUGCUAAAACAGAUCCCUUCUGCCCCAUAUUCCGUCUUGGCAAAAUAGUGGAGAACGCAGGACACAGCUUCCAGGAUAUGGCCGUGGAGGUGGGUGCGGGCCCUGGCUCUCCUGACCCAGCCCUGGAGGCGUCUCGUGCCAGGCGCUGAGGAAAGCCUUGCUGUGUCUCUGCUGCUCACCCCCAGGGAGGCAUCAUGGGCAUCCAGGUCAACUGGGACUGCAACCUGGACAGAGCUGCCUCCCUCUGCUUGCCCAGGUACUCCUUCCGCCGCCUUGAUACACGGGACGUCGAGCACAACGUGUCUCCUGGCUACAAUUUCAGGUUUGCCAAGUACUACAAAGACCUGGCUGGCAACGAGCAGCGCACGCUCAUCAAGGCCUACGGCAUCCGCUUCGACAUCAUCGUGUUUGGGAAG
This 823-nucleotide small RNA is filed under the name Pongo abelii (Sumatran orangutan). RNAcentral describes it as "retained intron". The record is from RNAcentral. Lineage: Eukaryota; Metazoa; Chordata; Mammalia; Primates; Hominidae.